Molecule: ribosomal RNA, 424 nt
Filed under: uncultured cyanobacterium
Lineage: Bacteria; Bacillati; Cyanobacteriota
Description: bacterial SSU rRNA
Rfam family: Bacterial small subunit ribosomal RNA
Source: RNAcentral
GGGGAAUUUUCCGCAAUGGGCGAAAGCCUGACGGAGCAAUACCGCGUGAGGGAGGAAGGCUCUUGGGUUGUAAACCUCUUUUCUCAGGGAAUAAGAACUGAAGGUACCUGAGGAAUCAGCAUCGGCUAACUCCGUGCCAGCAGCCGCGGUAAUACGGAGGAUGCAAGCGUUAUCCGGAAUGAUUGGGCGUAAAGCGUCCGCAGGUGGUUUAUCAAGUCUGCUGUCAAAGAGUUUGGCUCAACCAAAUAAAGGCAGUGGAAACUGACAGACUGGAGUGCGGUAAGGGCAGAGGGAAUUCCUGGUGUAGCGGUGAAAUGCGUAGAGAUCAGGAAGAACACCGGUGGCGAAAGCGCUCUGCUGGGCCGUAACUGACACUGAGGGACGAAAGCUAGGGGAGCGAAUGGGAUUAGAUACCCCUGUAGUC